GACGAACGCUGGCGGCGUGCUUAACACAUGCCAGUCGAACGGAAAGGCCCUGCUUUUGUGGGGUGCUCGAGUGGCGAACGGGUGAGUAACACGUGAGUAACCUGCACUUGACUUUGGGAUAACUUCAGGAAACUGGGGCUAAUACCGGAUAGGAGCUCCUGCUGCAUGGUGGGGGUUGGAAAGUUUCGGCGGUUGGGGAUGGACUCGCGGCUUAUCAGCUUGUUGGUGGGGUAGUGGCUUACCAAGGCUUUGACGGGUAGCCGGCCUGAGAGGGUGACCGGCUACAUUGGGAUUGAGAUACGGCCCAGACUCCUACGGGAGGCAGCAGUGGGGAAUAGUGCACAAUGGGCGGAAGCCUGAUGCAGCAACGCCGCGUGCGGGAUGACGGCCUUCGGGUUGGAAACCGCUUUCGCCUGUGACGAAGCGUUAGUGACGGUAAUGGGUAAAGAAGCACCGGCUAACUACGUG
This 468-nucleotide ribosomal RNA is filed under the name uncultured bacterium. RNAcentral describes it as "partial 16S ribosomal RNA". It matches the Rfam family "Bacterial small subunit ribosomal RNA", at positions 28 to 507 of the family's 1533-position model. The record is from RNAcentral.